AUUGGACGCUGGCGGCAUGCUUUACACAUGCAAGUCGAACGGUAACAGGCCGCAAGGUGCUGACGAGUGGCGAACGGGUGAGUAAUGCAUCGGAACGUGCCCAGUCGUGGGGGAUAACUACUCGAAAGAGUAGCUAAUACCGCAUACGAUCUAUGGAUGAAAGCGGGGGACCGUAAGGCCUCGCGCGAUUGGAGCGGCCGAUGUUAGAUUAGGUAGUUGGUGGGGUAAAGGCUCACCAAGCCAACGAUCUGUAGCUGGUCUGAGAGGACGACCAGCCACACUGGGACUGAGCCACGGCCCAGACUCCUACGGGAGGCAGCAGUGGGGAAUUUUGGACAAUGGGCGCAAGCCUAAUCCAGCAAUGCCGCGUGCAGGAAGAAGGCCUUCGGGUUGUAAACUGCUUUUGUACGGAACGAAACGGCUCUGGUUAAUACCCGGGGCUAAUGACGGUACCGUAAGAAUAAGCACCGGCUAACUACGUG
RNAcentral lists this ribosomal RNA (482 nucleotides) under uncultured bacterium. RNAcentral's name for it is "partial 16S ribosomal RNA". It matches the Rfam family "Bacterial small subunit ribosomal RNA", at positions 30 to 507 of the family's 1533-position model. The record is from RNAcentral.